RNAcentral lists this ribosomal RNA (579 nucleotides) under Triticum aestivum (bread wheat). Its description in RNAcentral is "partial small subunit ribosomal RNA". The record is from RNAcentral. Lineage: Eukaryota; Viridiplantae; Streptophyta; Magnoliopsida; Poales; Poaceae.
AUGUCUGAUCGUAGCGGCCAGCGGCAAUGCCGCCGAGGCGUCUCGGGCGACGUGGAGCUCGACGCGGCCAUGGCACUGGCCAACAUGGCCGGCGUUUCGGGGCCAGCAGCUCUUCCCGCCGUGCACCCGGCGGCGCCGCAGCAUGGAGGCAGCCGUGAGGAGGAAGAGGAGCUGGCGAGCACGAGGCUGAGCCUGGAGCUGGGCAAGGUCGGCAUCCAGGCGUCGUCGUGCUCCAGCGGCUCCAGCGCCGGGUGUCCUUCGCGGCAGACGCGGGUGCCCGUGGCGGCUCCAGGUGGAGGCGGCUACGGCCCAAGGCCCCGGCACACGCUCACCGAGGCUGAGAAGGAGGCAAAGCGGCUGCGGCGCGUGCUCGCGAACCGGGAGUCUGCGCGCCAAACCAUACUCCGCCGUCAGGCGGUCCGAGACGAACUGGCGAGGAAAGUUGCGGACUUGUCGUCACAAAACGAGAGCAUGAAGAAGGAGAAGGAGACGGUGAUGCAAGAGUAUCUCACACUCCAGGAGACGAACAAACAGCUGAAAGAACAGGCACGACAUCAUCUGCCGCUUCCAUUAUUUUAA